Molecule: ribosomal RNA, 150 nt
Filed under: Escherichia coli
Lineage: Bacteria; Pseudomonadati; Pseudomonadota; Gammaproteobacteria; Enterobacterales; Enterobacteriaceae
Description: partial 16S ribosomal RNA
Rfam family: Bacterial small subunit ribosomal RNA
Source: RNAcentral
UUAAAUUGAAGAGUUUGAUCAUGGCUCAGAUUGAACGCUGGCGGCAGGCCUAACACAUGCAAGUCGAACGGUAACAGGAAGAAGCUUGCUGCUUCGCUGACGAGUGGCGGACGGGUGAGUAAUGUCUGGGAAACUGCCUGAUGGAGGGGG